GAUGACAGACAGGGUGCCAUUCUCCGGGAGCUUCUGGAGAUGGGCAAUAACCCCCCAGACACAAACUCACUAAAAAAUUAUCAGCUGUGUCUAGCACAGGGCAGGACAUGGCAGAGUGCUGAGGCAGAGCAUCCACUUUAGACAGAGUGGCCGGAGAAGACCUUCUAAGGAAGUGGCAUUUAAGCAAGAUGCCAAGCCACAUGGAGAGCAGGAGGGGUGAGAGGUGGGAGGAAGCCUGCAGUGAAUAAAGGAGAGCAUGUGCAAAGGUCACAAUGGAAAGGCCAUGGAGGCGACACUGGGCCAGGAGAGGCACAUCCAGUCCCAGCCAGUGAUCUCAUGAGUGAAUCUUCUUGGGUUCAAAAAGGAUUAGAUGAGUGAGGACAGUAUUUUGGGACUCAGGAAGGAAGGAGAAAGUUUGGAUCAUUCACACAGAGACAAAGGAUUCACAGGAAAGUUGGGGGACAGCAAAGUACCCUGAGUGCCUG
This 485-nucleotide long non-coding RNA is filed under the name Homo sapiens (human). RNAcentral's name for it is "HSALNT0004602". Lineage: Eukaryota; Metazoa; Chordata; Mammalia; Primates; Hominidae. The record is from RNAcentral.